This is a long non-coding RNA of Mugil cephalus (flathead mullet), 291 nucleotides long. RefSeq lists it as uncharacterized. The transcript is spliced from 3 exons. The record is from RefSeq and is a predicted model, not a curated record. Lineage: Eukaryota; Metazoa; Chordata; Actinopteri; Mugiliformes; Mugilidae.
UCAAAAUGUAGACUGCUCAGUAGCACUGCAGAACACAGCUACAAUCUGCUUUACCAUGACCAGUCUCACUUCAGUAUCUACAGGUUCCUCAGCAACAAUCAAACAUACUUUCACACUGGAUGCCACUCGCAAAAGCCCCAAAGAAUCGAGCUCAUAUCACUGAUAAACAACGAGAGUCGACCAAGACCAUUACUGUUUCCUUAAAUAGGAAAGAGUGCAGCACCUUGAAAUUCUUCAUUCAGGCAUGUGCAGAAGAUGUUGUCAGUCCACUUAGCAAUGAGUUAAGAUUCA